Molecule: non-coding RNA, 23 nt
Filed under: Cricetulus griseus (Chinese hamster)
Lineage: Eukaryota; Metazoa; Chordata; Mammalia; Rodentia; Cricetidae
Source: RNAcentral
GAGAGGGGUACAGGCUAAGAAAA